UUUGUUUAUUUAUAUUUUUUUUUUUUCGACAAACAAACCCAUCCAGGGGAGACCUUCACUCCUUAUCCUCCAUCUCCCUUUGAUCCACCUCACCUGAUCGGUCACCAUGUCAUAGUAAUCCUCUUGACUGACUGAAUCAGCUGUGCUCAGAUCAAGGGCCAAGCUUCGCUUCUCUAAGACAAGGCGCUGGGACGGAGGAUGAGAAGCCAGUGCCGUGCAGCGCUGUGAAAUGUCAAGGAGACCUUCGCGAGUGAGCAGAAAUCCACAUCUGAGAUCUUCACCCGCCUCCAAAAAGGUUUUAACCCUUUGUGCUGCUGUGGCUGUGGGGCUUCGGGGAGAAGAUAAUGAGUGAGGUGAGGAGCAGGAGAUGGAGUAAAUAGCAGAUGCAGGUCAUACAAAGGUCUCCAGAGAUUUAUGGACAAGCUUGAUUGGUCAGUGAUUGGGUGUUAGCCAUCGAGCUUCCUGAUGGACAGCUUGACCUCAGAACCUCACAGAGGUCAUUUAAGUUUUUUCACAGUGCAUUUCUUCGUUGUCCUAUUGGCAUGGUACCACAUCCAUCUCAGGGCCACGCGGACAUGACCUCACGUACCUGGGGAGUGGUGACCUUGAUGACCUUGGCCGCGGCGCACCUCACUGGUACGCGCUCAGUGCUUCUGACAGAUGGGCCUGUGAACUCGUCUGGGAACUCUCAGGUGUGAUUGGGUUUAGGGCUUGGCACGCUUGCCCGUGAUUGGGUUACGGGGCUGGAAAGUGCUCACCGAUGAUUGGGUUAGCCUGAUGGAUGGGCUGCUGUGAUGACAGCCCAUGGCACGCUGCUCAUCGCCAAGACGGAUACACACCAGAACCACAAAAACCUUCCUCACGUCGGGCCUAAAUUUGAUUUCCCC
Long non-coding RNA from Clupea harengus (Atlantic herring), 887 nucleotides. The record is from Ensembl. NCBI's taxonomy places the organism in Eukaryota, Metazoa, Chordata, Actinopteri, Clupeiformes, Clupeidae.